This 266-nucleotide ribosomal RNA is filed under the name Dyella sp. ISO287_OTU1629. Its description in RNAcentral is "partial 16S ribosomal RNA". It matches the Rfam family "Bacterial small subunit ribosomal RNA", at positions 30 to 289 of the family's 1533-position model. The record is from RNAcentral. RNAcentral also lists the same sequence under 1 other name. Lineage: Bacteria; Pseudomonadati; Pseudomonadota; Gammaproteobacteria; Lysobacterales; Rhodanobacteraceae.
UUGAACGCUGGCGGCAUGCCUAACACAUGCAAGUCGAACGGCAGCACAGCAGUAGCAAUACUGUGGGUGGCGAGUGGCGGACGGGUGAGUAAUGCAUCGGGACCUGCCCAGACGUGGGGGAUAACGUAGGGAAACUUACGCUAAUACCGCAUACGUCCUACGGGAGAAAGCGGGGGAUCAGCAAUGACCUCGCGCGGUUGGAUGGACCGAUGUUCGAUUAGCUUGUUGGUGGGGUAAUGGCCUACCAAGGCGACGAUCGAUAGCUG